GCUGGGCACGGUGGUGCAUUCCUGUAAUCCCAGCAACUCAGGAAGCUGAGGCAGAGGAUCAAAAGUUCAAAGCCAGCUUCAGCAACUUAGCAAGACCCUGCCUCAA
RNAcentral lists this small RNA (106 nucleotides) under Marmota monax (woodchuck). Lineage: Eukaryota; Metazoa; Chordata; Mammalia; Rodentia; Sciuridae. The record is from RNAcentral.